UACAGAGGUCUCAAGCGUUGUUCGGAUUCAUUGGGCGUAAAGGGUGCGUAGGCGGCUUUGCAAGUCGGGUGUGAAAUCCCCAGGCUUAACCUGGGAACUGCAUUCGAGACUGCAUUGCUAGAGUAUGGGAGAGGGAAGUGGAAUUUCCGGUGUAGCGGUGAAAUGCGUAGAUAUCGGAAGGAACAUCAGUGGCGAAAGCGACUUCCUGGACCAAUACUGACGCUCAUGUGCGAAAGCGUGGGGAGCAAACAGG
This 253-nucleotide ribosomal RNA is filed under the name uncultured bacterium. RNAcentral's name for it is "partial 16S ribosomal RNA". It matches the Rfam family "Bacterial small subunit ribosomal RNA", at positions 524 to 776 of the family's 1533-position model. The record is from RNAcentral.